Non-coding RNA from Gossypium hirsutum (cotton), 86 nucleotides. NCBI's taxonomy places the organism in Eukaryota, Viridiplantae, Streptophyta, Magnoliopsida, Malvales, Malvaceae. The record is from Rfam.
CACGUCAGCGCGAGUUGCUGACGUAGAAGGAAUCGCGUCCUUGAGGGAGCGAUUUUCUUCCACGUCAGCAACUCGCGCUGACGUGG